This 3068-nucleotide ribosomal RNA is filed under the name Campylobacter jejuni. RNAcentral describes it as "bacterial LSU rRNA". It matches the Rfam family "Bacterial large subunit ribosomal RNA". RNAcentral also lists the same sequence under 5 other names. Lineage: Bacteria; Pseudomonadati; Campylobacterota; Epsilonproteobacteria; Campylobacterales; Campylobacteraceae. The record is from RNAcentral.
GUAAGCUACUAAGAGCGAAUGGUGGAUGCCUUGACUGGUAAAGGCGAUGAAGGACGUACUAGACUGCGAUAAGCUACGGGGAGUUGUCAAGAAGCUUUGAUCCGUAGAUUUCCGAAUGGGGCAACCCAAUGUAUAGAGAUAUACAUUACCUAUAUAGGAGCGAACGAGGGGAAUUGAAACAUCUUAGUACCCUCAGGAAAAGAAAUCAAUAGAGAUUGCGUCAGUAGCGGCGAGCGAAAGCGCAAGAGGGCAAACCCAGUGCUUGCACUGGGGGUUGUAGGACUGCAAUGUGCAAGAGCUGAGUUUAGCAGAACAUUCUGGAAAGUAUAGCCAUAGAGGGUGAUAGUCCCGUAUGCGAAAAACAAAGCUUAGCUAGCAGUAUCCUGAGUAGGGCGGGACACGAGGAAUCCUGUCUGAAUCCGGGUCGACCACGAUCCAACCCUAAAUACUAAUACCAGAUCGAUAGUGCACAAGUACCGUGAGGGAAAGGUGAAAAGAACUGAGGUGAUCAGAGUGAAAUAGAACCUGAAACCAUUUGCUUACAAUCAUUCAGAGCACUAUGUAGCAAUACAGUGUGAUGGACUGCCUUUUGCAUAAUGAGCCUGCGAGUUGUGGUGUCUGGCAAGGUUAAGCAAACGCGAAGCCGUAGCGAAAGCGAGUCUGAAUAGGGCGCUUAGUCAGAUGCUGCAGACCCGAAACGAAGUGAUCUAUCCAUGAGCAAGUUGAAGCUAGUGUAAGAACUAGUGGAGGACUGAACCCAUAGGCGUUGAAAAGCCCCGGGAUGACUUGUGGAUAGGGGUGAAAGGCCAAUCAAACUUCGUGAUAGCUGGUUCUCUCCGAAAUAUAUUUAGGUAUAGCGUUGUGUCGUAAUAUAAGGGGGUAGAGCACUGAAUGGGCUAGGGCAUACACCAAUGUACCAAACCCUAUCAAACUCCGAAUACCUUAUAUGUAAUCACAGCAGUCAGGCGGCGAGUGAUAAAAUCCGUCGUCAAGAGGGAAACAACCCAGACUACCAGCUAAGGUCCCUAAAUCUUACUUAAGUGGAAAACGAUGUGAAGUUACUUAAACAACCAGGAGGUUGGCUUAGAAGCAGCCAUCCUUUAAAGAAAGCGUAAUAGCUCACUGGUCUAGUGAUUUUGCGCGGAAAAUAUAACGGGGCUAAAGUAAGUACCGAAGCUGUAGACUUGCACACAACUUAGAUUAUUUAAGUUUAGAAUAUAAAAAAACUAAGUUAUAUGUUUUAAGUUAUAUUUUUACUGAUUUUUAUAGAGUAAAGAUAGAAAUAAAGCUUAGUAAAAUCAGUAAAAAUAUUCUUGGUUUAAAGUUUAAGUAGUUUAAGUUGUGUGCAAGUGGUAGGAGAGCGUUCUAUUUGCGUCGAAGGUAUACCGGUAAGGAGUGCUGGAGCGAAUAGAAGUGAGCAUGCAGGCAUGAGUAGCGAUAAUUAAUGUGAGAAUCAUUAACGCCGUAAACCCAAGGUUUCCUACGCGAUGCUCGUCAUCGUAGGGUUAGUCGGGUCCUAAGUCGAGUCCGAAAGGGGUAGACGAUGGCAAAUUGGUUAAUAUUCCAAUACCAACAUUAGUGUGCGAUGGAAGGACGCUUAGGGCUAAGGGGGCUAGCGGAUGGAAGUGCUAGUCUAAGGUCGUAGGAGGUUAUACAGGCAAAUCCGUAUAACAAUACUCCGAGAACUGAAAGGCUUUUUGAAGUCUUCGGAUGGAUAGAAGAACCCCUGAUGCCGUCGAGCCAAGAAAAGUUUCUAAGUUUAGCUAAUGUUGCCCGUACCGUAAACCGACACAGGUGGGUGGGAUGAGUAUUCUAAGGCGCGUGGAAGAACUCUCUUUAAGGAACUCUGCAAAAUAGCACCGUAUCUUCGGUAUAAGGUGUGGUUAGCUUUGUAUUAGGAUUUACUCCGAAAGCAAGGAAACUUACAACAAAGAGUCCCUCCCGACUGUUUACCAAAAACACAGCACUCUGCUAACUCGUAAGAGGAUGUAUAGGGUGUGACGCCUGCCCGGUGCUCGAAGGUUAAUUGAUGGGGUUAGCAUUAGCGAAGCUCUUGAUCGAAGCCCGAGUAAACGGCGGCCGUAACUAUAACGGUCCUAAGGUAGCGAAAUUCCUUGUCGGUUAAAUACCGACCUGCAUGAAUGGCGUAACGAGAUGGGAGCUGUCUCAAAGAGGGAUCCAGUGAAAUUGUAGUGGAGGUGAAAAUUCCUCCUACCCGCGGCAAGACGGAAAGACCCCGUGGACCUUUACUACAGCUUGACACUGCUACUUGGAUAAGAAUGUGCAGGAUAGGUGGGAGGCUUUGAGUAUAUGACGCCAGUUGUAUAUGAGCCGUUGUUGAGAUACCACUCUUUCUUAUUUGGGUAGCUAACCAGCUUGAGUUAUCCUCAAGUGGGACAAUGUCUGGUGGGUAGUUUGACUGGGGCGGUCGCCUCCCAAAUAAUAACGGAGGCUUACAAAGGUUGGCUCAGAACGGUUGGAAAUCGUUCGUAGAGUAUAAAGGUAUAAGCCAGCUUAACUGCAAGACAUACAAGUCAAGCAGAGACGAAAGUCGGUCUUAGUGAUCCGGUGGUUCUGUGUGGAAGGGCCAUCGCUCAAAGGAUAAAAGGUACCCCGGGGAUAACAGGCUGAUCUCCCCCAAGAGCUCACAUCGACGGGGAGGUUUGGCACCUCGAUGUCGGCUCAUCGCAUCCUGGGGCUGGAGCAGGUCCCAAGGGUAUGGCUGUUCGCCAUUUAAAGCGGUACGCGAGCUGGGUUCAGAACGUCGUGAGACAGUUCGGUCCCUAUCUGCCGUGGGCGUAAGAAGAUUGAAGAGAUUUGACCCUAGUACGAGAGGACCGGGUUGAACAAACCACUGGUGUAGCUGUUGUUCUGCCAAGAGCAUCGCAGCGUAGCUAAGUUUGGAAAGGAUAAACGCUGAAAGCAUCUAAGCGUGAAGCCAACUCUAAGAUGAAUCUUCUCUAAGCUCUCUAGAAGACUACUAGUUUGAUAGGCUGGGUGUGUAAUGGAUGAAAGUCCUUUAGCUGACCAGUACUAAUAGAGCGUUUGGCUUAUCUUUAAUAAAGCAU